AGAAUUUCUACCCAUGAAAUGGCGCUUGUGCCUGAGGGCAUGAGCCAUGGGGGCUCAGUUCUUGGAUUAUGGAAUGCUCCUCCAUGGGCUCCCCAUGGCCCCUACCCAGCGUGGCGCAUGGGAGAGCAGCAGAGGUGACCCCAUGAAGUGACCACCACGAGCCCACCUCAGCGGAAAAGGUUUUGGGCCACCAUGAAGUGACCACAACGAGCCCCCCCUCAGGUCAGAGCUCCUCCAAACCCCCCCAAAAUCCCCCGACCCCCCCAGUCCGAAGCGAUGAGACCCUAAGCUGGAGGCUGAGUCCGAUGGCAGCUCUGAGUUACCAAAGCCCUGAUCGGAUUUGGGGAGGGGGCUGCACCCCCCUGCGGAGGUCUGACCCCCUCUGAGCUCCCCAAUUUCCUCCACAGCCUCGGGAGCUGCGGAUCCCUUUGGCAGGAUCCCAGUCCUGCCCCCUCUGAAAUUUGGGGGGUUUUGGAGCCAAUCUGUGAAUCCUGAGACAAUCCCAGGUGACAGCCGCAGGACACACCUGGAGCCAGGUGCAGCAGGAGUGGGGGGCUCAGCUCUUGGAUCAUGAAAGUAUUACCAACACAAAUAAAAACUGCUUUUUU
Molecule: long non-coding RNA, 608 nt
Filed under: Taeniopygia guttata (zebra finch)
Lineage: Eukaryota; Metazoa; Chordata; Aves; Passeriformes; Estrildidae
Description: lncRNA (ENSTGUG00000025767.1)
Source: RNAcentral